AAUUUUAUACUUGCAAGAGUCAUGGAAAACCUGGAAAAGUCAUGGAAUUAGUCAAAAUCAUUAUAAGUCACAUAACUUGUUUGUCUAUUAGUGAAAUUAAUUAUUAGAAUCAUCUUCAGUGGAUAAUCCUCCAUAAAAUGUAACAUAAUGCCAAAUUCAUUUUCUAAAGCUGGCGUCUUAAUGUAGCUUUAAUAUGCGUUGAUGUGUGACAGCGUUUGUUUACCAUCAGGUGUGUUUUGUCAUUUUCUCCCUCAGUUUGUCUCUCCCUUCCUGUGUGCCAAUUAUGUUUACAUAGAGUUUGAAUCUGAUGUUUGAAAAACGCUGGGCAAGUGUUGAAAGUCUUGAAAAGUCAUGAAAAAGUUUGGAAAUAUUGUCCAUGAAAAUGUGAGCGGAACCUGUAAUUAAAAGUAUGACUGAUUUUGCAGUAAUAAACUGAUCCCAGAAG
Molecule: long non-coding RNA, 445 nt
Organism: Epinephelus moara (kelp grouper)
Lineage: Eukaryota; Metazoa; Chordata; Actinopteri; Perciformes; Serranidae
Exons: 2
Source: RefSeq, a predicted model, not a curated record